RNAcentral lists this long non-coding RNA (3864 nucleotides) under Aquilegia coerulea. RNAcentral describes it as "long non-coding RNA (ACOE_LNC001877)". The record is from RNAcentral. Lineage: Eukaryota; Viridiplantae; Streptophyta; Magnoliopsida; Ranunculales; Ranunculaceae.
AGGCCAAAAAUUAGAAGACUUGUACAGAGGAAGAAGAUGAUCUAAAUUGAAGAGGCUCAAUCAAUGGAAGGUAAUCACUGAGGUUAAACAUUUUUCUAAUUUUGCUUAGUCAUUUGAAGCUCACAAAUAAGUGAAUUGUUUUUUUAAAUUUGGUUGAAAUCGAUCAUUGGUGUUGUCUUCAAGCGAAAACUAUUAAAUUUUACAUCAAAUUUCCUGAAUUUUGCAUCAAGUGAAUAACGUUUGUCUCAAAUGCGAUUCAUUUGGAUAACCAAUGCAAUAGACAUUGUUCUCAAGCUUGCAUAUUACAUUUGAGUUUGUUUGUCUUCAUUAUAUGUUUGCUUGGGUAUCAACACAGAUUUUAAUAUAAUAUUUAGGAGUCGAAAAAUGCUGAAUAGUAGUUACUUCUCGGUCAUCUGCAUUUUAUAACAUGACCACUAUGACCAUAUUGUUACUUUGUUUUCCUUAUUCGUCUUUCCUCUGCUUAUGUAAUACUCUCAUUUCUUUGUUUCGUUGAAAACUCAAGACAUCCCGGCUGCUUCUCAAUCAUCCCUGCUGCUUCUCAAUCUAAUAUCUCAAAUUGCUCCCUCCGUUGAGCUUUUUUUUGAAAGCUUAAAAUUGAUUUGAUUGCUGGUUCCUACUUGCUUGCUGCCUGUCAAUCCAAUACCGCUAAUUUUCAAAGCCUAAAAUUAUUGUUAAUUUCCUAUUUGAACCUGCUUCUCAAUUAUCCUACUUGAUUCCUGCUUCUCGAUUCCAUACCUCAAAUUACUGCUUCUCUACUCAUUUCAGGUUGUUGUUAUCAACAUUUUUGAGUUUAUAGGGUCUCCAAACAUCAGACUAUUACCGAGGUAAUAAUAUUGCUGUGCUUAUCUACAUGUUCCCGUUUUUGUUAAAGAAAGAAGGCAUAUUAGAUGCAAUUUCCUUAUGUCUCCAUGUUUUUUGGAGGGUGAUUAAUUACUUUUAUUUUUAAUUCUUGCUGUAGGAAUCUACUUCAAUAUUCUUUUACACAAUGUUAAGUUUCGUUCCUUGAUUUGAAAUUAUUAAAGAUUCUUACUAAAUAAUGGUUUCCUUCGCAACCGGAACAGAAAAUUUUCAUGUCCAAAUCAACAUACAGUAUAACCUCUUUCAAUUAAUGGCCUUGGGACUACCUUAAUUUUAUAAAAAAUUAAUUAACUUAGAGAUUAUCAACUUACCCAGUCCUUAAUUUAGCAUGUCCAUCCCAAGUUGGGCCCAGAAAAUUUUAUUAACUUAGAGAGAUUGUUAACAAAUCGAGUAUUAAUUUAAAGAGGUUCUACUGUGUAUAUAUAUAUAUCAUCAGAUAGUGUAGCAACUCCAACUGAAGUGGACACAAAUAAUAUGGAAAAGUCAGAUUACUAUGAUCACAUCCUUGGUCCAUACGUAGAACAAUUUUGGAUAAAAUUUGUUUCGUGAGUAAUAUGAGGUUUCAGUUUAAACUGCAAAAACUUGUGUUGUGGUACUGUUUAUUACAUUAUGCUAUUUUGUUGUGUACACAUCAGGGAAGAGGCCAUUUUUUUUUCCAGCUUAUUUAUAUUUUGUUUUUAUAAUACGUCUUUUUUGCAUUCUAUUUAUGACCUGUUCUGUUCAGUUGUGGUAAUGUUUAUUAUAUUUCUUUGGUAGCAGUUGAUUCUUGAAAAUAUUAAACGCAUUCAAGCUUCUCCUUCAAUUAUGAAUUAGGCUCUUAUGUUCCUACUGUUAUGCUUGGAAGGUGAAGACCCUUAAGAAGAAAUUUAUAAGGUAUGUUGCUUUCCUUUAUCAUGUUUAAGUAUUACACAUGGAUUUUUUUAAUGAACAUCCAGGAUAUUGUUUGCUGAUUAUUUUACCAUUGAGUUGUUUCCAAGUGUUCCACACACGUGGUACAGGUAGCAAACUGUAUAGAUUGCUACCUAGCAAUCAUGUAUUCAAUGCUGCCCAAGCUUUGAUAAUGCAAACAUGAUCAUGGCCUUCAACCAAAGAUGACACAUUUGCCUGCUUAGUCCACAGUAAUUGUUUCCACACUUCUCUAAUUACUCAACACAAAAAUAACAGAUGCUCAACAGUUUCAACUGUUCUUUUACACCAUACACACUUCACAUUAGUCGUUUUAAAUGGAACAAAUCUUUUCUAAUUACUAUGCAAUAGUAUUCGUCUCUCAAAAUAACUUUUUUUGUCAGUUAAUUAUAAGAUUUAACACAUACCUUCUUUAAAUGUAAGCGUGUGUGCCUUUAAAAAUGUCAACACUAUCACUAAUGAUAUUUCCUCCAAAGGGUGGAUUCAGAAAUUAUAAGAAUAAAGUGGCCUUUUUAGGCAAGGCUGUUAAUACUCAUAAAUGGCUUACCUACGUCUAUCCACAAAGGACAUAGAUACCACUUACACAUCGCAAAUAAUAUGAUAGCAUUUUUUCGAGUACUCAUUGUAUUGCACGGUACUGCUAAUGUAAUGCAGAGUCUACCAUAUUAGAAGUUUACAAUAACAACAAUUUAGAACUUCUCAUAACAAAACUCCAGCCCUGAGAUUGCUCUUUUCUGGUGCGUAGUCCAUCUAUAUAUCUAACUACCAUAUGUUCUAAUAUGUGUCAACUCUUCAUCCAUCUUUCUUUCUAUAUUAUUUUAUUUAUUUCUUUCUUUGUAAUCAUUGCUUUCUCUCUCAUAUAUUGAUUUCUUUCUUAAAAGGCGAAGUUUCUCCUUGCUGUGCAUACUUACUGCUUUCAAAAAAAUAUCUUUCGGAAGGAACUCAACAAUCCGGUAAAUAUCUAUUUAUUUUUCUUUAUUGAUUCUGAUGUGUUUUUUGUGCCAUUGUGUCCAUUCCUAUGCUUUGCGUUUGUGUUCAAUAUUCGCAAAAGCAGUUAAAGUCAACAAAUGCUUAUGAAGGUUCUGGUUAAUAAAAUUAAACAAUGGCAUUUUGUUUUUCCAGUUUGAUCCUCCCAUUUGAUUGAUCUCGCUGCGUUUUUUUCUUCUAAGCCUAAGAAAUUUUAGAUUUUUUCUGAGAUAUCAAAUAUGAUCAGAUUAAUAAAAUCAUUUUGUAUUUGGGUUAUAUCUUUGUGCUAUUUUUCGUGCAUAAAUCUAAAUGCCUUCCUAUAGGCAGUCUGGACUACAUACUACAAAAACUGAUUAUAAGCUGGUUUUGGCAUCUACGUACAUUUUUUCUUGGAAAAUGUCAUCAACAAUUAAUUCAUAUAGUAUUGUUAGCUUCAGUUUGAAAACAUGCAUUUGAUGCAUAAACCUUUAAGGCAGACAAAAUACGGAUAAGAACAUACGGCUCUUUUUCAACCAUUCUCUUUCCAUCUCCUGCGACAUUUUCCGUACUUUAUUAUGUCAUUCGUAAAUUGCUAACUAUUCUUUUCUACUUUUAAGUUGCUAGAAAUAUUUGCAUUCUAACCGACAUUUAUCAUGUUAACUGAAAUUUUUGCACUAUUUUUUUUUCACUUGCUCUAGGAGAUCCAGCUCAUUGUGUGUUCUUUUUUGUAUAUAUAUCUCUUCACACAGUGCUAUGUAGUCCUAUGACAUACCCAUUUUAUGAGGCCAUCAUUGUUGGAACUGCAACAGAUAGUGUUUUUGUUGCAUCUGACGUGGAAGACCUGGACAACAUUGCAGAGACAAAAGGUAUUUGUUGUUUGACGUUUGUGUUGUUUAUGAGCACAUGUCUCCUGCAGAUUCCUGAUUGUUGAAUUUAUCUGGUGGUGGAGGCAAGGAAUUGGCGCAUUCAACAGAAGAACAUUAAGCCAACCUAAACUAGAGGCAGGAAGCUCAUCUGUUCAAAAUGAAGCUCAGGAUGUAGAGCAGCAGCCGUUGGUGACACAAAGAUCCAGACGUGUCUCUUUUCGAUCCGAUUCUAUUAAAGAAAGCUUCAGAAAUGGAUGAUGCCAACCCU